UAGAUUUGCAAAUGAUAAUCGAUCAAAAGGUAAAAAUUUCAAGGAUAUGCCCAAAUAAAUUUCAGUUCAAACUAAAACAAAAAUCUCAAAAAGGCAACAUUCAGAACAUGAAUAACAAGGCUAUUUCCAGCAAUUUAAAUGAAACAUACAAUAAUCAAACUCAAUUCUACAACUUCAAGCAACUUUUAAGAAAUUGAAUGUAUAUGCUGGAAUAAAUGAAGUAGAACCUCCCCUUUUUUCCGUUCAAAUGAAGAUAACUCUCUGACAGUCUGCUAACAAAGUCACCUUGGAACUGAUAGGCCUAGCUCUAAUUCAAGAAACAAAAAGUUCAUAUAAGAAAACAAUACGAGCAAAAUACCCACUUGAUGAUAAAUAAAAAAAAUCUCUCUUAAGCAUUCAAUAAAAUAAAAUCAUUGAUGCUUAACGAUCCCAGUUUAUUAACUUUCUCUAAAAACAGCUAAAGUAAUCAAUAGAAAAUCAAAGAAGAGGCUAAUUCUGGCAGGUUGAUGGUUGAUUCAUCCUGAGACAUGUAGUAUAGAGGUAGCAUAAAUAUCCUUGAAAUUAACUUCCAAGCAGAUGACGGAGCCCAUCUUGAAAAAAUGUUUCACGUUCCAUCAAUUUCAUCUGGGAAAAAGGAGAACUGUUUGUCACCAGGCUUAUCAAACUAAUGCAUUAUGCACAAUCGCUCAAGUAGAAAUGCUGAUACCAAAUUCACAUGCUUUUGAAUCUACUGUUAUUGUGUCACCUCUCUCUCUUCCUAGAACAUUUUUAAGUGGAUAUAUAAAUCCCAUUUUGAGAUAGAAUGAGGGAAUUAAAAGUUUGGUGAACUACUUCAGAAGGAUUUCUUUUAAAAAAUCUACACUAAAUUUUAGAAAAAAGGUACAGAAACUUUAUAGGUUAAGUUUCAUAAUGAACUGAUUUUGACUAAGCAGACAAAUAAUUUUUCAGCCGCGCAAAUGGUUCCAUCAAUUCCGCUGCAGAGAAUUCUUCUCUCCAGAAAUUUGUGUUAUUUAGGCACCAAACAAAUUCAAUGUCAACGAAGAGUAUGAAAAUUCAACACAUUUCCAUUAACAAACAAAUCUCCAAACACAGUUAGCAGAUAGGUCAAAGUUGAAAUCGAUGACGUGAAAAUUAAAAGCUAGGUGUUAUAUAUAAAUCGGCAAUAAAUAAGAUCACUGCAGAUAUUUUAUUUGUCCACCAAAAUGUAGCCAAGUCCCUUGCGUUAAAAAAAUUCUUAAAUAUAAGAUAAGUCAUGCAUUUAUUGUUCUCUGCAUCCCCAAAAUACGAGUAUAAAACUCAGUUUCAUAAAAUUGUUAACCAAGCUUUAAUACAUGAGCAUAACACAAUGAAGCAUUACAGAGACCUUGUAAAAUUCUGGUAUUUCUUUCAAGCAUUUGGAAAUUCAUGUGCCUGCAGGAACCAAAUAUUCCAGUCAGAUAGCUUCAAUGCCUUUUACCCCAAAACAUAUGCCUAAAUUGUUCAUUAAGGACGUUGAUUAGGAGAUAGGAUAACAACUCCAUAACUAAAAAUAUA
This 1533-nucleotide long non-coding RNA is filed under the name Olea europaea subsp. europaea. Lineage: Eukaryota; Viridiplantae; Streptophyta; Magnoliopsida; Lamiales; Oleaceae. The record is from RNAcentral.